RNAcentral lists this ribosomal RNA (253 nucleotides) under uncultured bacterium. RNAcentral describes it as "partial 16S ribosomal RNA". It matches the Rfam family "Bacterial small subunit ribosomal RNA", at positions 524 to 776 of the family's 1533-position model. The record is from RNAcentral.
UACGUAGGGUGCGAGCGUUAAUCGGAAUUACUGGGCGUAAAGCGUGCGCAGGCGGUAAUGCAAGACAGAUGUGAAAUCCCCGGGCUUAACCUGGGAACUGCAUUUGUGACUGCAUUGCUGGAGUGCGGCAGAGGGGGAUGGAAUUCCGCGUGUAGCAGUGAAAUGUGCAGAGAUCCGGAGGAACACCAGAGGUGAAAACGGCGCCCUGGGGUGCACCUGACGCUGAGGCGCGAAAGCUUGGGGAGCAAACGGG